RNAcentral lists this transfer RNA (70 nucleotides) under Cavia porcellus (domestic guinea pig). It matches the Rfam family "tRNA". From Rfam's summary of the family: Transfer RNA (tRNA) molecules are approximately 80 nucleotides in length. Their secondary structure includes four short double-helical elements and three loops (D, anti-codon, and T loops). The record is from Rfam by way of RNAcentral. Lineage: Eukaryota; Metazoa; Chordata; Mammalia; Rodentia; Caviidae.
GGGAAUUUAGCUCAGCGGCAUAAGCGCCUGCCUUGUAAGCAGGCAAUCGCCAGUUCGAUCCCUGGUACCA